UGUUGUUGCGCAGUUUUUGAAUCUUAUCUGCUUUUUCCCCUUUCUGGCUUUUCUCUAUUCUCCGUGUCCUCUGUUACCUUUGCUUUCUUGUCAUCAUUAUCUGGACACGUCCUUUCUUUCCUUUCCCCUGAACAUCUGUCAUUGCUAGCUUAGAGUCUAAUAUAACUCUAUCUUGUGUUAGGGCCUCAGACUUCCGGGUAUAUAUCAACGCCAGCUUUUCUUCAUUCUCGAACCCUCUGUUGGAGUAAGGGGUUCUUCCGUUUCCAGUUUUCUGUCUGCUUCCUUCUUCUGGCGAGAUUGUCCUGUUUUAUCUGCGAAGGAUCCAUUUGACGCCUUCUUCAAAUGGCUGGAGGUGAGCUUGAGUUUGUAUUGCUUUGUUACUCCAUAGAUUUGCUUUAAUCUUGCUUUUAUCAUCUUGAUAGAAAAUUGUUCUGACUUGUCUCUGUUUUGAAAUUUUUUUGCAGUACCUGAGAUAAAAAUGGGUCAGCUCAAAAUUUUUGAAAAUUUGAGGUUACCUCUAAGGAGUCUGAGCGUUGUUUUGGAGGUCCUUCUGGUAGGGAGGUCGACGGUUGAGACCAUUCGGCAGGUCGCUGGAACUAUUUCACCCAGGUCGUCUGGCCGGCCUCCUCCUUUGCUUGUUGUCCGGAUUCCGAAGAGGUUCUGGGGUGUUGAGGGGUUUGCUCUAAUUUUACCUUUCUUCGGGAGAGACAAGGAAAUUUCCC
This 722-nucleotide long non-coding RNA is filed under the name Manihot esculenta (cassava). Its description in RNAcentral is "long non-coding RNA (MESC_LNC013033)". The record is from RNAcentral. Lineage: Eukaryota; Viridiplantae; Streptophyta; Magnoliopsida; Malpighiales; Euphorbiaceae.